AUUGAACGCUAGCGGGAUGCUUUACACAUGCAAGUCGAACGAGUGGCGGACGGGUGAGUAAUAUCUCGGAACGUGCCCAGUAGAGGGGGAUAACUACUCGAAACGGUGGCUAAUACCGCAUACCAUCGGAGCGGCCGAUAUCGGAUUAGCUAGUUGGUGGGGUAAAGGCUCACCAAGGCAACGAUCCGUAGCUGGUUUGAGAGGACGACCAGCCACACGGGAACGGAGAAACGGCCCAGACUCCUACGGGAGGCAGCAGUGGGGAAUAUUGGACAAUGGGGGAAAGCCUGAUCCAGCCAUCCCGCGUGUAUGAGAAGGCCCUAGGGUUGUAAAGUACUUUCAGGCGGGAGGCGUUACCGACAGAAGAAGCACCGGCUAACUCCGUGCCAGCAGCCGCGGUAAUUC
Molecule: ribosomal RNA, 405 nt
Filed under: uncultured bacterium
Lineage: Bacteria
Description: partial 16S ribosomal RNA
Rfam family: Bacterial small subunit ribosomal RNA
Source: RNAcentral